Pangasius djambal is the source of this 72-nucleotide non-coding RNA. Lineage: Eukaryota; Metazoa; Chordata; Actinopteri; Siluriformes; Pangasiidae. The record is from the annotation of a GenBank genome assembly.
UCCCUGGAGGACUAGUGGUUAGGCCACAGUGCACUAGCCACUGUGGCCCAGGUUUGAUUCCCGGCCAGGGAA